UCGAAACCUCCAAAUGACCCGCGAACCAGUUAUCCACAAGUCGGGGGUGUCGGGUUUAUCUCCGUAUCCCCCGUGCGCCGGCGGUGGCCAUGCGAGCCGAUCUCUCGGCACGGUUGGGCCCACCCACCGGCCCAACAAACCAACCCCGGCGCGGCACGCGCCAAGGAACUUUGCAUCAUAAGAAGGAUCACGCUCCCGUCCGUGCCGGAAAUCGGAUAACACGGUCGGUGGCUGUCCUCCUGUUCAUAACAAAAACGACUCUCGGCAACGGAUAUCUAGGCUCUUGCAUCGAUGAAGAACGUAGCGAAAUGCGAUACUUGGUGUGAAUUGCAGAAUCCCGUGAACCAUCGAGUCUUUGAACGCAAGUUGCGCCCGAAGCCUUCUGGCCGAGGGCACGUCUGCCUGGGUGUCACACAUCGUCGCCCCAAACCCAACACCUCGUCAGAGGAGAUUGGGAAGAGGAUGGGCGGAUAAUGGUCUCCCGUGCGCACCCGUUCGCGGUUGGCCCAAAAAUCAGUUCCUGGCGAUCGCAAGCCACGACCAGCGGGUGGUUGUAAGACCCUCGGUUCUAAGUCGUGAGCACCUGCCUCGCAUGAUGGGACAAUUUGACCCCGAACGUGAUCGAUGAUGAACUUCGAACACUCACAAA
Molecule: unclassified non-coding RNA, 649 nt
Filed under: Hypericum canariense
Lineage: Eukaryota; Viridiplantae; Streptophyta; Magnoliopsida; Malpighiales; Hypericaceae
Description: sequence contains ITS1, 5.8S rRNA gene, ITS2
Rfam family: 5.8S ribosomal RNA (bases 257-412)
Source: RNAcentral